UAGGGAAUCUUCCGCAAUGGGCGAAAGCCUGACGGAGCCACGCCGCGUGAGUGAUGAAGGUCUUCGGUUCGUAAAACUCUGUUAUUAGGGAAGAACAAAUGUGUAAGUAACUAUGCACGUCUUGACGGUACCUAAUCAGAAAGCCCCGGCUAACUACGUGCCAGCAGCCGCGGUAAUACGUAGGUGGCAAGCGUUAUCCGGAAUUAUUGGGCGUAAAGCGCGCGUAGGCGGUUUUUUAAGUCUGAUGUGAAAGACCACGGCACAACCAUGGAGGGUCAGUGGAAGCUGGAAAGCAUGAGUGCAGAAGAGGAAAGUGGAAUUCCAUGUGUAGCGGUGAAAUGCACAGAGAUGAGGAGGAACACCAGUGGCGAAGGCGACUGUCUGGUCUGUAACUGACGCUGAUGUGCGAAGGCGUGGGGAUCAAACAGG
RNAcentral lists this ribosomal RNA (429 nucleotides) under Actinomycetes bacterium. RNAcentral's name for it is "Actinobacteria bacterium partial 16S ribosomal RNA". It matches the Rfam family "Bacterial small subunit ribosomal RNA", at positions 355 to 776 of the family's 1533-position model. The record is from RNAcentral. Lineage: Bacteria; Bacillati; Actinomycetota; Actinomycetes.